Molecule: ribosomal RNA, 200 nt
Filed under: uncultured bacterium
Lineage: Bacteria
Description: partial 16S ribosomal RNA
Rfam family: Bacterial small subunit ribosomal RNA
Source: RNAcentral
ACGCUCGACACCUACGGGAGGCAGCAGUGGGGAAUAUUGCACAAGUGGGGGAAACCCUGAUGCAGCGACGCCGCGUGGAGGAAGAAGGUCUUCGGAUUGUAAACUCCUGUUGUUAGGGGAAAAAGAGGAUGGUACCCAACAAGGAAGUGACGGCUAACUACGUGCCAACAGCCGCGGUAAUCUGAGCGGGCUGGCAAGGC